UCCGCGUUAACCACGGCAGUCUCAUUAGAGUGCUCAACUAAAUGGUAGCAACUAAUGAUAAGGGUUGCGCUCGUUGCGGGACUUAACCCAACAUCUCACGACACGAGCUGACGACAACCAUGCACCACCUGUCUUCCUGCCCCGAAGGGCUUCGCCGAGUUACCGGCUAUUCAGGAGAUGUCAAGUCUAGGUAAGGUUCUUCGCGUUGCUUCGAAUUAAACCACAUGCUCCGCUGCUUGUGCGGGCCCCCGUCAAUUCCUUUGAGUUUUAAUCUUGCGACCGUACUUCCCAGGCGGAGUACUUAUUGUGUUAACUGCGGCACAGAAGGAGUCGAUACCUCCUACACCUAGUACUCAUCGUUUACGGCGUGGACUAC
Molecule: unclassified non-coding RNA, 376 nt
Filed under: uncultured Eubacteriales bacterium
Lineage: Bacteria; Bacillati; Bacillota; Clostridia; Eubacteriales
Description: contains 16S-23S intergenic spacer region
Source: RNAcentral